Non-coding RNA from Schistosoma curassoni, 45 nucleotides. The record is from Rfam. NCBI's taxonomy places the organism in Eukaryota, Metazoa, Platyhelminthes, Trematoda, Strigeidida, Schistosomatidae.
AUGCAGCUGACGAGUCCAAAAUAGGGCGAAACGAACAUUCUGGAU